This 326-nucleotide long non-coding RNA is filed under the name Gossypium barbadense (sea-island cotton). RNAcentral describes it as "long non-coding RNA (GBAR_LNC020130)". Lineage: Eukaryota; Viridiplantae; Streptophyta; Magnoliopsida; Malvales; Malvaceae. The record is from RNAcentral.
UUUCCUAGUGGUCCAAUCACUCGAACCAAGGCACGACAAUUAAAAUCAAAGAUGAAUGCUUUUGUCCAAGACUUUGUUGCGACAAAUUUAAUUCAUCAUGUUCGUGACAUUGACAAAUACGAGAAUGCAAUUCACUGGACCAAUCUUGGAAUAGUAAAAGCCCAUAAAUUGGUGGAUUAAUUUUUUAUGUAUCUUAUUAUUAUUAUUAUUAUUAUUAUUUACUUAAUUCUCAUUGGUUGGGACACAUCAUUUAUGAGUUAAGUAAUUUUAUUGGUUAGGUUAUUAUUUAUUUAUUUUCUUAGAUAAUUUUAAAGAGUUUUAUUAGG